CUCCAACAGUCCUUUUCCAACCCUGUAAAUCAAAAGCAUAACAAGCAUUGAACAAAUGCAAGAAAGUAUAACACACAUAGAAGAUAACACAAGCAACCUCACAAGAGCUACUUCGCCCACCAAUGCAUUUGCAAUUUCACAAAUGAUAGAGCUGAACUUCGCCCACCAUAAUUCCCCUAAAAUAAAACUAUUUAAAUAAAUAAAAAGAAAGUGGGUCCGCUUGCAUUUCAUCUCU
RNAcentral lists this unclassified non-coding RNA (235 nucleotides) under Hevea brasiliensis (rubber tree). The record is from RNAcentral. Lineage: Eukaryota; Viridiplantae; Streptophyta; Magnoliopsida; Malpighiales; Euphorbiaceae.